This 336-nucleotide unclassified non-coding RNA is filed under the name soil metagenome. RNAcentral's name for it is "partial contains 5.8S ribosomal RNA, internal transcribed spacer 2, and large subunit ribosomal RNA". The stretch from base 1 to 120 matches the Rfam family "5.8S ribosomal RNA", at positions 35 to 154 of the family's 154-position model. The record is from RNAcentral.
GAUGAAGAACGUAGCGAAAUGCGAUAAGUAAUGUGAAUUGCAGAAUUCAGUGAAUCAUCGAAUCUUUGAACGCACAUUGCGCCCGCCAGCAUUCUGGCGGGCAUGCCUGUUCGAGCGUCAUUUCAACCCUCAAGCUCUGCUUGGUGUUGGGGCCCUACGGUUAACGUAGGCCCUUAAAGGUAGUGGCGGACCCUCUCGGAGCCUCCUUUGCGUAGUAACUAACGUCUCGCACUGGGAUUCGGAGGGAUUCUAGCCGUAAAACCCCCAAUUUUUUAAGGUUGACCUCGGAUCAGGUAGGAAUACCCGCUGAACUUAAGCAUAUCAAUAAGCGGAGGA